Molecule: non-coding RNA, 408 nt
Organism: Alligator sinensis (Chinese alligator)
Lineage: Eukaryota; Metazoa; Chordata; Crocodylia; Alligatoridae
Source: the annotation of a RefSeq genome assembly
GCAGCUGAGCGAAGCCCUCAGGUCAAAGCCACCAUGCAUCUGCUCCUUGUUGUCCUUUCCCUCCUGGCCCUGCCCUUAGAGGGCGUCUCUGAGGUGCGGCUGGAGCAGGAGGGAACGGAGCUGGUGAAGCCCACAGAGUCUGCCUCGCUCACGUGCAUUGUCUAUGGUGCUGCCAUUUGGGAUCACGCUUGGAGUUGGGUCCAACAGCGUCCUGGCAAAGGUCUGGAGUGGCUGGGGCAUAUCCAAGGGAAUGGAAACCUGCAAUACAAUCCAGCCUUCAGGAACCGAAUCAGCAUCACCAGGGACAACUCUAAUAACCGGGUGUAUUUGCAACUGAACAACAUAGGAGCAGCCGACACAGCCACGUACUACUGUGCCAAGGGAGCAGGGAUCAUAAGAACACAGUGA